CAGCCGCCGCGGGAAUACGAAGGGUGCAAGCGUUACUCGGAAUUACUGGGCGUAAAGCGUGCGUAGGUGGUGGUUUAAGUCCGUUGUGAAAGCCCUGGGCUCAACCUGGGAAUGGCAGUGGAUACUGGCUCGCUAGAGUGUGUCAGAGGAUGGUGGAAUUCCCGGUGUAGCGGUGAAAUGCGUAGAGAUCGGGAGGAACAUCAGUGGCGAAGGCAGCCCCCUGGGCCAACACUGACGCUCAUGCACGAAAGCGUGGGGAGCAAACAGGAUUAGAGACCCCCGUAGUCCCUGUCUCUUAUAC
This 301-nucleotide ribosomal RNA is filed under the name uncultured bacterium. RNAcentral's name for it is "partial 16S ribosomal RNA". It matches the Rfam family "Bacterial small subunit ribosomal RNA", at positions 509 to 807 of the family's 1533-position model. The record is from RNAcentral.